RNAcentral lists this ribosomal RNA (253 nucleotides) under uncultured bacterium. Its description in RNAcentral is "partial 16S ribosomal RNA". It matches the Rfam family "Bacterial small subunit ribosomal RNA", at positions 524 to 776 of the family's 1533-position model. The record is from RNAcentral.
UACGUAGGGGGCAAGCGUUGUCCGGAUUUAUUGGGCGUAAAGAGCGUGUAGGCGGCCAGGUAGGUCCGUUGUGAAAACUGGAGGCUCAACCUCCAGCGGUCGAUGGAAACCAUCUGGCUAGAGUCCGGAAGAGGAGAGUGGGAUUCCUGGUGUAGCGGUGAAAUGCGCAGAUAUCAGGAAGAACACCCGUGGCGAAGGCGGCUCUCUGGGACGGUACUGACGCUGAGACGCGAAAGCGUGGGGAGCGAACAGG